Non-coding RNA from Clostridium sp., 74 nucleotides. The record is from Rfam. NCBI's taxonomy places the organism in Bacteria, Bacillati, Bacillota, Clostridia, Eubacteriales, Clostridiaceae.
GGCGGAGUAGCUCAGUUGGCUAGAGCACGCGGUUCAUACCCGCGGUGUCAGGGGUUCAAAUCCCUUCUCCGCUA